GACGUAGGAUGCAAGCGUUGUCCGGAUUUAUUGGGCGUAAAGAGUUCGUAGGCGGCCUGACAAGUCUGAUGUUAAAGCCCGAAGCUCAACUUCGGUAGGGCAUCGGAUACUGUCAAGCUGGAGUAUGGCAGAGGCAAGGGGAAUUCCGGGUGUAGCGGUGAAAUGCGUAGAUAUUCGGAGGAACACCGGUGGCGUAAGCGCCUUGCUGGGUUAUUACUGACGCUGAGGAACGAAAGCCGGGGGAGCAAAUGGG
Molecule: ribosomal RNA, 253 nt
Filed under: uncultured bacterium
Lineage: Bacteria
Description: partial 16S ribosomal RNA
Rfam family: Bacterial small subunit ribosomal RNA
Source: RNAcentral